UGUAAGUACCCGCUAUUAAUUUAACGAUGUUCUCGUUACCAUGUUUAGCUCCCCAAUGUAAAGCUGUAUAGCCCUGCAGAUGGUUCGCAGCAGUGUUCCACACGAAGAUUAUUCGUCAAUCCCAAGAUGUGUACAUGUAACAUACAAAAAUAUGUACCGUUAAUGGUACCGAUCGAAGAAGUUUUGCCACGCAAUGUUUUUUCGAAUUAUAAAUUAUUGCUACAUGCAGUUUAAGGUUCUGUUUUGCCCUCGUGCGGCAUACUUUUUAACGAUUAGCAAUGUAAACUACAUGCAUGCUGAUAUGCGCAAAACUUCUCGCCGUUCGUGAAUGCACCCUGCGAGCUCUCGUGCCUACGAAGGAACCGGCGCUCCGCAAUUAAUUGCCGACCAUCGGGGCACGGCUUUUCUCUCCCGGCUCGAACCCAUUACUUUGUAGCAUUUGGCUGGUAACUUAAUG
Long non-coding RNA from Acromyrmex echinatior (Panamanian leafcutter ant), 457 nucleotides. Lineage: Eukaryota; Metazoa; Arthropoda; Insecta; Hymenoptera; Formicidae. The record is from RefSeq and is a predicted model, not a curated record.